This 493-nucleotide long non-coding RNA is filed under the name Mustela putorius furo (domestic ferret). RNAcentral's name for it is "lncRNA (ENSMPUG00000029482.1)". Lineage: Eukaryota; Metazoa; Chordata; Mammalia; Carnivora; Mustelidae. The record is from RNAcentral.
CUCUGGGUGAGGGCCGCUGGGUCUGGUUUUGUUCUGUCGCUCAUCUGUGCAAGCGUCUCUAGGGGACAGAGAAGACCCCCUGGCAAGCAUCUGUAGGAGGCCAGAAAAAAACCCACCCAGGCCAGCUCUGGGAAACAAGAAAAGCGCCCCCUGGACCUAACACCCCCUACUCCGGAUCUUCCCACUCAGGUCUCAGUGUUUUUGCUGUUUUCAUGGAGGAUAUUCCCAUUUCCUGUUAUGGACUGAAUAACUGUGUCCCCCAAGAAGUCAUAUGUUGAAUCUUUAAUCCUUAAUGUGGUACUAUUUGGAGGUGGAGAAUUUGGGAUACCUUGAGAGUGGAGUCUUCGUGAUGGAAUUCGUGCCUUAGAAGAAGAAACGUAGAAUCUUUCUGUCCCUCUCUGUUUCUUCCAUAUGACGACACAAUAAGAAGAUCAUCAUCUGCAAGCCAGGAAAAGGAUUCUUACCAAAAAUAAAUUUCUGUUGUUUAAGCCAG